Molecule: non-coding RNA, 29 nt
Filed under: Mus musculus (house mouse)
Lineage: Eukaryota; Metazoa; Chordata; Mammalia; Rodentia; Muridae
Source: RNAcentral
UUGAAUUAUAUAGGGAANAGCCUCUGUAG